This 405-nucleotide ribosomal RNA is filed under the name Verrucomicrobiota bacterium. Its description in RNAcentral is "Verrucomicrobia bacterium partial 16S ribosomal RNA". It matches the Rfam family "Bacterial small subunit ribosomal RNA", at positions 355 to 776 of the family's 1533-position model. The record is from RNAcentral. Lineage: Bacteria; Pseudomonadati; Verrucomicrobiota.
UGAGGAAUAUUGGUCAAUGGGCGAGAGCCUGAACCAGCCAAGUAGCGUGCAGGAUGGCGGCCCUAUGGGUUGUAAAGCUCUUUCACCGGUGAAGAUAAUGACGGUAACCGGAGAAGAAGCCCCGGCUAACUUCGUGCCAGCAGCCGCGGUAAUACGAAGGGGGCUAGCGUUGUUCGGAUUUACUGGGCGUAAAGCGCACGUAGGCGGACUUUUAAGUCAGGGGUGAAAUCCCGGGGCUCAACCCCGGAACUGCCUUUGAUACUGGAAGUCUUGAGUUCGAGAGAGGUGAGUGGAAUUCCGAGUGUAGAGGUGAAAUUCGUAGAUAUUCGGAGGAACACCAGUGGCGAAGGCGGCUCACUGGCUCGAUACUGACGCUGAGGUGCGAAAGCGUGGGGAGCAAACAGG